This 330-nucleotide ribosomal RNA is filed under the name uncultured eukaryote. RNAcentral describes it as "partial 18S ribosomal RNA". It matches the Rfam family "Eukaryotic small subunit ribosomal RNA", at positions 1470 to 1796 of the family's 1831-position model. The record is from RNAcentral.
CCCUUAGAUGUUCUGGGCCGCACGCGCGCUACACUGAUGCAUUCAACGAGUCUAAAACCUGGUCUGAUAGGGCUGGGUAAUCUUUUGAAAGUGCAUCGUGAUUGGGGUAGAUGAUUGCAAUUCUUCAUCUUCAACGAGGAAUGCCUAGUAAACGCAAGUCAUCAGCUUGCAUUGAUUACGUCCCUGCCCUUUGUACACACCGCCCGUCGCUCCUACCGAUUGAAUGAUCCGAUGAAUACCAUGGAUUGAGAGUACGAAUGGGUUCGCUAAUUUCUGCUGCUCGAGAAGUGGAGUAAAUCUUAUCAUUUAGAGGAAGGAGAAGUCGUAACA